AACCUUAUGGACCUGCGGGCGUAUACCUGCGGAAGGAUCAUUAAAAAGAGUGUGUACCCCUCUGUAAAAUGAGUGGGUUACCUCCCGUCCUUUGUUGACCUCUUAGGAGGUUAUUUUGAACUUUCUGCUUCGGUGGGGUUAAACCUACCGGAACACCCUCAAAUUCUUAUCAUUUAAAAAUUGUUCAGUCUGAUUUUUGUUAAUAAAAACAAAAAACUUUCAGCAACGGAUCUCAGAUCG
Molecule: unclassified non-coding RNA, 240 nt
Filed under: soil metagenome
Description: partial contains 5.8S ribosomal RNA, internal transcribed spacer 2, and large subunit ribosomal RNA
Source: RNAcentral